CACCAGCCCCUCGAGUGGUGGGGAUGAUUAUUUGGCCUAAAGCGUCCGUAGCCGGCCGGGUAAGUCUCCCGUUAAAUCCAGCGUCUCAAGCGUUGGACUGCGGGAGAUACUGCCUGGCUAGAGAGUGGGAGAGGUGUACGGUAUUCUGGGGGUAGGGGCGAAAUCCUUUGAUCCCCGGAGGACCACCAGUGGCGAAGGCUGUACACUAGAACACGUCUGACGGUCAGGGACGAAAGCUGGGGUAGCGAACCGGAUUAGAUACCCGGGUAGUCCCAGCCGUAAACGAUGCAUGCUAGGUGUUAGGUUGGCCACGAGCCACCCCAGUGCCGCAGGGAAGCCGUUAAGCAUGCCGCCUGGGAAGUACGAUCGCAAGAUUGAAACUUAAAGGAAUUGGCGGGGGAGCACCACCAGGCGUGAAGCCUGCGGUUU
RNAcentral lists this ribosomal RNA (429 nucleotides) under uncultured archaeon. Its description in RNAcentral is "bacterial SSU rRNA". It matches the Rfam family "Archaeal small subunit ribosomal RNA", at positions 474 to 903 of the family's 1478-position model. The record is from RNAcentral.